This 125-nucleotide ribosomal RNA is filed under the name Trimorphomycetaceae sp. Its description in RNAcentral is "partial large subunit ribosomal RNA". The record is from RNAcentral. Lineage: Eukaryota; Fungi; Basidiomycota; Tremellomycetes; Tremellales; Trimorphomycetaceae.
AAACGAUGGAGGUCAGUCGUGUCUGUGGGAUUCAGCCGUCUCUGGCGGUGUACUUCCCACAGACGGGUCAACAUCAGUUUUGGCUGGCGGAUAAAGGCAGGAGGAAGGUGGCACCCCCGGGUGUG